This 466-nucleotide ribosomal RNA is filed under the name uncultured bacterium. RNAcentral describes it as "partial 16S ribosomal RNA". It matches the Rfam family "Bacterial small subunit ribosomal RNA", at positions 28 to 507 of the family's 1533-position model. The record is from RNAcentral.
GACGAACGCUGGCGGCGCGCCUAACACAUGCAAGUCGAACGAGCGAGCGAGAGCUUGCUUUCUUGAGCGAGUGGCGAACGGGUGAGUAACGCGUGAGGAACCUGCCUCAAAGAGGGGGACAACAGUUGGAAACGACUGCUAAUACCGCAUAAGCCCACGGUGCCGCUUGGCACAGAGGGAAAAGGAGCAAUCCGCUUUGAGAUGGCCUCGCGUCCGAUUAGCUAGUUGGUGGGGUAACGGCCCACCAAGGCGACGAUCGGUAGCCGGGCGGAGAGGUUGAACGGCCACGUUGGGAAUGAGACACGGCCCAGACUCCGACGGGAGGCAGGAGUGGGGAAUAUUGCACGAGGGGGGAAAACCUGAUGCAGCGACGCCGCGUGGAGGAAGAAGGGCUUCGGAUUGUGAACUCCUGUUGUAGGGGAAGAUAAUGACGGUACCCAACAAGGAAGUGACGGCUAACUACGUG